Molecule: transfer RNA, 74 nt
Filed under: Methanobacteriota archaeon
Lineage: Archaea; Methanobacteriati; Methanobacteriota
Description: Euryarchaeota archaeon (hot springs metagenome) tRNA-Tyr
Rfam family: tRNA
About the family: Transfer RNA (tRNA) molecules are approximately 80 nucleotides in length. Their secondary structure includes four short double-helical elements and three loops (D, anti-codon, and T loops). Further hydrogen bonds mediate the characteristic L-shaped molecular structure. tRNAs have two regions of fundamental functional importance: the anti-codon, which is responsible for specific mRNA codon recognition, and the 3' end, to which the tRNAs corresponding amino acid is attached (by aminoacyl-tRNA synthetases). tRNAs cope with the degeneracy of the genetic code in two manners: having more than one tRNA (with a specific anti-codon) for a particular amino acid; and 'wobble' base-pairing, i.e. permitting non-standard base-pairing at the 3rd anti-codon position.
Source: RNAcentral
CCCGGCUUAGCUCAGCCUGGUGGAGCAGGGGACUGUAGAUCCCAAGGUCGCUGGUUCAAAUCCGGCAGCCGGGA